GUAUAGGCGAUAGAAAAGGAACACCUGGCGCGAUAGAAAAAACGUACCGUAAGGGAUUGAUGAAAUAACAAUGAAACCACAAGCACUAAACAGCAAAGAUUAACCCUUGUACCUUUUGCAUCAUGAUUUAGCAAGAACAACCAGGCAAAACGAAUUUAAGCCUGCCACCCCGAAACCCAAGCGAGCUACUUACAGGCAGCCAUCCCAGGGCGAACCCGUCUCUGUCGCAAAAGAGUGGGAAGACCUGUUAGUAGAGGUGAAAAGCCAAUCGAGCUGGGUGAUAGCUGGUUGCCUGUGAAAAGAAUUUUAGUUCGCCCUUAACUCCACUCUACGGAUAUAAACAACCCACAUGAAGAGAGUUAAGAGUAAUUUAGAGGAGGUACAGCC
This 387-nucleotide non-coding RNA is filed under the name Colius striatus (speckled mousebird). Its description in RNAcentral is "Bacterial large subunit ribosomal RNA". It matches the Rfam family "Bacterial large subunit ribosomal RNA", at positions 478 to 1004 of the family's 2925-position model. The record is from Rfam by way of RNAcentral. Lineage: Eukaryota; Metazoa; Chordata; Aves; Coliiformes; Coliidae.